RNAcentral lists this ribosomal RNA (492 nucleotides) under uncultured bacterium. RNAcentral's name for it is "partial 16S ribosomal RNA". It matches the Rfam family "Bacterial small subunit ribosomal RNA", at positions 29 to 507 of the family's 1533-position model. The record is from RNAcentral.
AGUGAACGCUGGCGGUAGGCCUAACACAUGCAAGUCGAACGGCAGCACAGUAAGAGCCUGCUCUUACGGGUGGCGAGUGGCGGACGGGUGAGGAAUACAUCGGAAUCUACUUUUUCGUGGGGGAUAACGUAGGGAAACUUACGCUAAUACCGCAUACGACCUACGGGUGAAAGCAGGGGAUCUUCGGACCUUGCGCGGUUGAAUGAGCCGAUGUCGGAUUAGCUAGUUGGCGGGGUAAAGGCCCACCAAGGCGACGAUCCGUAGCUGGUCUGAGAGGAUGAUCAGCCACACUGGAACUGAGACACGGUCCAGACUCCUACGGGAGGCAGCAGUGGGGAAUAUUGGACAAUGGGCGCAAGCCUGAUCCAGCCAUACCGCGUGGGUGAAGAAGGCCUUCGGGUUGUAAAGCCCUUUUGUUGGGAAAGAAAAGCAGCAGGUUAAUACCCCGCUGUUCUGACGGUACCCAAAGAAUAAGCACCGGCUAACUUCGUG